UCGAGUUUAUUCAACUCCCAAACCCUAUGUGAACUUACCACUUGUUGCUUCGGCGGCGCUUCUGGCGUCGCCGAGGGUACCAAACUCUUAUUGUUUUUACAGCAUUAUCUGAGUGGCCGCAAGGCAAAAAACAAAUGAAUCA
This 142-nucleotide unclassified non-coding RNA is filed under the name uncultured Diaporthales. RNAcentral's name for it is "sequence contains ITS1". Lineage: Eukaryota; Fungi; Ascomycota; Sordariomycetes; Diaporthales. The record is from RNAcentral.